GAAAUGCGAUAAGUAAUGUGAAUUGCAGAAUUCAGUGAAUCAUCGAAUCUUUGAACGCACAUUGCGCCCGCCAGCACUCUGGCGGGCAUGCCUGUUCGAGCGUCAUUUCAACCCUCAGAACCCCUUGCGGGAUCUGGCGUUGGGGAUUGGCAUCCAGCCAGCCCCGAAAUCUAGUGGCGGUCCCUCCGCGACCUCCCCUGUGCAGUAGCGAUACCUCGCAGCGGGACAGCGGUCUGACCACGCCGUUAAACCCCCAACUUCUCAAGGUUGACCUCGAAUCAGGUAGGAAUACCCGCUGAACUUAAGC
This 307-nucleotide unclassified non-coding RNA is filed under the name plant metagenome. Its description in RNAcentral is "partial contains 5.8S ribosomal RNA, internal transcribed spacer 2, and large subunit ribosomal RNA". The stretch from base 1 to 105 matches the Rfam family "5.8S ribosomal RNA", at positions 50 to 154 of the family's 154-position model. The record is from RNAcentral.